Molecule: ribosomal RNA, 251 nt
Filed under: Salmonella enterica subsp. enterica
Lineage: Bacteria; Pseudomonadati; Pseudomonadota; Gammaproteobacteria; Enterobacterales; Enterobacteriaceae
Description: partial 16S ribosomal RNA
Rfam family: Bacterial small subunit ribosomal RNA
Source: RNAcentral
CCUACGGGAGGCAGCAGUGAGGAAUAUUGGUCAAUGGACGCAAGUCUGAACCAGCCAUGCCGCGUGCAGGAAGACGGCUCUAUGAGUUGUAAACUGCUUUUGUACGAGGGUAAACGCAGAUACGCGUAUCUGUCUGAAAGUAUCGUACGAAUAAGGAUCGGCUAACUCCGUGCCAGCAGCCGCGGUAAUACGGAGGAUUCAAGCGUUAUCCGGAUUUAUUGGGUUUAAAGGGUGCGUAGGCGGUCGGAUAA